GCGCCUCCAUAGGUAGGAUAGGCCGAACCACUUGGUCACGGGCGUGCAGCACGCACGCCUAUGUAUAUCCGACGCAACUGUACGAUUCGAUCUUUUCAAUUUUCCGACUGCAAAUUAGCGCCUUAUAUGGUCCGUGAAAAAAAAAAACAAAAAAAGAAAAAGAAAAAACGAAGCAUCGCGAAAGGUGUGUACGCGGGAACGACACGACCGGAAACAUCGACCACUCGUCAAGAUGGAAAGUUCUCUCAGCCAUGUUUGUCAGCCAUUGAGAGCCGUGGACGUAUCGUGGAUGAGGAUUAGGGUAGCAAACGAUUAUCGAGGGAAAAUUACGGCGAAAAAAACAUAAGGGAAACAACAAAAACAUUUCCACCACACACGAAGACGCGAAACGAUCUUGGUCGAUACACACGAAGAUAUGUGCUCUGUAUUACCGACGAGCCUCACAGCGGCGAUAGCGGUAAGCGUGGAGGCACAUAAGAGGGAGGGGUAAACGAGCCGAGCCACGAUUUCGUCGUCGUAAACGUCAACGUUACGGUUACAGCGUUGUUCCUAGCUGGUUUAUAUUGAACGAGGUUGCUCCCCGAGUUAUUGAAUGGAAGACGCCGAGUUGAUUCAGGAAUACGCGAGCAAAACGACGCAGCCGGGUGAGGGGAGAUUUUUUUUCCUCCGGGCCGAUGGAGC
Long non-coding RNA from Frieseomelitta varia, 681 nucleotides. RefSeq lists it as uncharacterized. Lineage: Eukaryota; Metazoa; Arthropoda; Insecta; Hymenoptera; Apidae. The transcript has 4 exons. The record is from RefSeq and is a predicted model, not a curated record.